RNAcentral lists this transfer RNA (84 nucleotides) under Paenalicyclobacillus macrosporangiidus. RNAcentral's name for it is "Alicyclobacillus macrosporangiidus tRNA". It matches the Rfam family "tRNA". From Rfam's summary of the family: Transfer RNA (tRNA) molecules are approximately 80 nucleotides in length. Their secondary structure includes four short double-helical elements and three loops (D, anti-codon, and T loops). Lineage: Bacteria; Bacillati; Bacillota; Bacilli; Caryophanales; Alicyclobacillaceae. The record is from Rfam by way of RNAcentral.
GCGGUCGUGGCGGAAUUGGCAGACGCGCAAGAUUCAGGUUCUUGUGGUGGCAACACCGUGGGGGUUCAAGUCCCUUCGACCGCA